AUUGAACGCUGGCGGCAUGCCUUACACAUGCAAGUCGAACGGCAGCACGGGUGCUUGCACCUGGUGGCGAGUGGCGAACGGGUGAGUAAUACAUCGGAACAUGUCCUGUAGUGGGGGAUAGCCCGGCGAAAGCCGGAUUAAUACCGCAUACGAUCUACGGAUGAAAGCGGGGGACCUUCGGGCCUCGCGCUAUAGGGUUGGCCGAUGGCUGAUUAGCUAGUUGGUGGGGUAAAGGCCUACCAAGGCGACGAUCAGUAGCUGGUCUGAGAGGACGACCAGCCACACUGGGACUGAGACACGGCCCAGACUCCUACGGGAGGCAGCAGUGGGGAAUUUUGGACAAUGGACGAAAGCCUGAUCCAGCAAUGCCGCGUGUGUGAAGAAGGCCUUCGGGUUGUAAAGCACUUUUGUCCGGAAAGAAAUCCUUGGCCCUAAUACGGUCGGGGGAUGACGGUACCGGAAGAAUAAGCACCGGCUAACUACGUG
RNAcentral lists this ribosomal RNA (486 nucleotides) under uncultured bacterium. RNAcentral's name for it is "partial 16S ribosomal RNA". It matches the Rfam family "Bacterial small subunit ribosomal RNA", at positions 30 to 507 of the family's 1533-position model. The record is from RNAcentral.